RNAcentral lists this unclassified non-coding RNA (24 nucleotides) under Dictyostelium discoideum. The record is from RNAcentral. Lineage: Eukaryota; Evosea; Eumycetozoa; Dictyosteliales; Dictyosteliaceae.
GGGGAAAAAAUACAGUCAACUGUC